RNAcentral lists this ribosomal RNA (457 nucleotides) under uncultured bacterium. RNAcentral describes it as "bacterial SSU rRNA". It matches the Rfam family "Bacterial small subunit ribosomal RNA", at positions 340 to 786 of the family's 1533-position model. The record is from RNAcentral.
UACGGGAGGCAGCAGUGGGGAAUAUUGCACAAUGGGCGCAAGCCUGAUGCAGCCAUGCCGCGUGUAUGAAAAAGGCCUUCGGGUUGUAAAGUACUUUCAGUCGUGAGGAAGGUGUUAAGGUUAAUAACCUUAGCAAUUGACGUUAGCGACAGAAGAAGCACCGGCUAACUCCGUGCCAGCAGCCGCGGUAAUACGGAGGGUGCGAGCGUUAAUCGGAAUUACUGGGCGUAAAGGGCACGCAGGCGGUUAAUUAAGUUGGAUGUGAAAUCCCCGGGCUUAACCUGGGAAUGGCAUUCAAGACUGGUUAGCUAGAGUCUUGUAGAGGGGGUAGAAUUCCAUGUGUAGCGGUGAAAUGCGUAGAGAUGUGGAGGAAUACCGGUGGCGAAGGGCGGCCCCUGGGACAAAGACUGACGCUCAUGUGCGAAAGCGUGGGGAGCAAAACAGGGAUUAAGAUACC